RNAcentral lists this microRNA precursor (139 nucleotides) under Prunus dulcis (almond). RNAcentral's name for it is "sRNA ncRNA". Lineage: Eukaryota; Viridiplantae; Streptophyta; Magnoliopsida; Rosales; Rosaceae. The record is from RNAcentral.
AUUCUUGUAUUGCCACCUCCAUCUUUUGAAGUCUUGACUUUUCUAGAAUUGUGUAGAACACAAAUGAGCAUUAUUUUUUUCAACAUUAUUGUGUAGAAAAGUCAAGACUUCAAAAGAUGGAGGUGGCAAUACAAGAAUA